This 71-nucleotide transfer RNA is filed under the name Loxodonta africana (African savanna elephant). It matches the Rfam family "tRNA". Rfam says of the family: Transfer RNA (tRNA) molecules are approximately 80 nucleotides in length. The record is from Rfam by way of RNAcentral. Lineage: Eukaryota; Metazoa; Chordata; Mammalia; Proboscidea; Elephantidae.
GCAUUGGUGGUUUAGUGACAGAAUUCUUGCCUUUCAUUCGGGAGACCUGGGUUCAAUUCCUGGCCAGUGCA